CUAAAUUGGAUACAUUUGUUUUGCUUACAAAUGAAGGGCCUAGCUUGGAGAAGGAUGAACAUUGGAGCAAGAACACGCAUGGAGUUGAUGGCAUGCGCAAGGGGAUCAAGAACGGAGUUACAAGUGAUGAUUUCAGGACUUUGAAGCCGCCAUAAGGAGUGCAUGAAGCCUUGGACGAAAUAUACAAGAUGCCACUUCAUAAUAUUCGUCCAUAGGCUAUUCUAGGUGCUGCGUCACCUUAUUAAUGGGCCAGGCCCAUGUAAUUUCGAAAUACUUAAGUAUAGGCUAUUUUUAGAGUCCGUAUGUGUGGGGAAACAAGAGUUAGGGUUGGUUUCGGACGCCACCCUCAAGGGCCACGAAAUUCCCCCCUCUUCCUCCAUAUAUAUAGCCCUUAGGGCGUCGUUUAGACUUUGGGUUUUGUUUAGAUUAAAAGUUCGCCAUAGCUGCAACUUCGCGUACUUCGUUUGUGUCCAACGACCAGACCAAGACGUCACAGAACCCCAUCUUGAUCAAUAAAGCUUUCAUCUUAUAUUCGCAAUAUCCCGAUUGCAAUCUCAGUUUCUUGCUUGUUCUUCAUUUGCUCGCAGGAAACAGACCCUCGUGGUCAGGUUGAUCGUGCUCCGGCGUGGUCAAUUACCCUCGGUAGUUGGUUUAGCGAUUGCUAAGGCGCGACGUCUCGCACGUUCGUAGUCGGAUCGUCAAGGUCGACUCCCACAGAAAACGAUAGCCACCAUCUCAUCGAAACAUCGGGACACCUUAGCCUCUAUCAUUCAUUAAAGACUUCUCAAAAAAUUCUAGGCCUCUGACUAAUCUCUUACAAAAAGAUGUCCCUUUUGUCUUUGAUGAUGAUUGUGUAGAAGCAUUUGAAAUACUUAAGAAAGCCUUGAUUUCUGCACCUAUUGUUCAGCCACCUGAUUGGAAUUUACCCUUUGAAAUUAUGUGUGACUAGUCAUCUACCCGUGCGGCUGUACGGCCUAGAAAUUUCUCUGUCUAACAUGGUUGUGUAAAUUCAUUUGUCACAUCAACAUUUUUGGAUAGCUAUACAUGUUGGUCAAACACAUCAAGUGUCCUACAGUAGAUGAACAGAAGUGUAGAGACACCCUAAUAUGUUUCUAUCGGUUGAACCUUUCUUGACCUGAUGAGCUACCAAGUCUUGAAAUAAUUGGUACAUAUACCAGGUCAAAUGUUACAAAAAUUAUAAAUCAACAACAAUUUCGAAGCUGUUAGGGACAAAUAUUCUAUUCAUUUUUUAUUUAUUUUAUUUCGGUCAUGUUUCUUUUCUUUCAAAAGGAAUGAAAAAAAUCAUUCACGAUUAGACUUUUUUUCAAAAGGAAUAACUGGACGUGGUUUUUUAAUUUCAUUUUUCUCAUGGGAACAUGCAUGUGGCUGAAAAACAUUUAGGCAUAAUUUUUCUAAGCAUGAGGUUUUGGCGAGCAAUUAUUUGUACGGCACUUUAAUUUGCUUUUUGUCAAGGGAGCACACUUGUGGUUUUUAUUUUGGUGAUAUUUAGGACAUGGAAUCUUUUUCUAGCAUUGGGCCUAAGGACGUUUCAUUUAUGUGUAUCUUUAUUUGAUAACAUAUCUUCUUUUUUCUUUAUCAAUGGAGAAGGAAAAUGGAUUUUGCUUUGGUUGGUACUUGAACGUCGGCAUGCAGGACAAUUUUCUGUGCAUGUGGGUUUAAUCCUUUUUCAUACUUUUAGUACGUGUUGUUUUUCUACUUUUUUUACCUUAAGUGAUCUCUCGUAAUAAAAUUCCUGGCAUAUGUUUUUUUACAUAAUAUGUCUUUGUUUCAGGAAACCAAGAGCGACUCAAGGGAGGAAGUCUCCCAUACAUGGUAGCAUAGGACACUUAGAUUUUUGUUUUAUAAAGAAAGAUUUCAUUUUUAAUGAAACAGAGAGAGUCCCAUGGGACUAAGACUCCCGUACGUGGAGUAAUAUCACUCAACAUGUCUUAUCUUUCAUCCAAAGGAUAUAGAUACAUUAUAAUUAAUCCAACGGUCAAUAUUCUUUAAUUAUAAGGAAUAACCUGGUGCCUCGUAUGGUGCCUCCAAUUAGUAAAUAUAAGAUGCUAGUGAUUAUGUUGUAGGUGUUGUUCUAGGACAAAGGGUUGAUAAGAAAUUAAAUGUUAUCCAAUAUGCUAGUAAAACUCUAGACAGUGCCCAGAGAAAUUAUGCUACUAUUGAAAAAGAAUUUUUAGCAGUUGUAUUUGCUUGUGAUAAGUUCAGACCUUAUAUUGUUGAUUCUAAAGUAACUGUUCACAUUGAUCAUGCUGCUAUUAAAUAUCUUAUGGAAAAGAAAGAUGCUAAACCUAGACUUAUUAGAUGGGUUCUAUUGCUACAAGAAUUUGAUUUGCAUAUUAUUGAUAGAAAGGGAGCUGAGAACCCCAUUGCAGACAACUUAUCUAGGUUAGAGAAUGUUCUUGAUGACACGCUACCUAUUGAUGGUAGAUUUCCUGAUGAACAAUUAGCUGUCAUAAAUGCUUCUCAUACUGCUCCAUGGUAUGAUGAUUAUGCUAAUUACAUUGUUGCUAAAUUUAUACCUUCUAGUUUCACAUACUAGCAAAACAAAAAGUUUUUCUAUGAUUUAAGACAUUACUUUUGGGAUGACCCAAACCUUUAUAAAGAAGGAGUAGAUGGUGUUAUUAGACGUUGUGUACCUGAGCAUGAACAGGAACGGAUCCUACACAAGUGCCACUCCGAGGCUUAUGGAGGACACCACGCUGGAGAUAGAACUGCACAUAAGGUAUUGCAAUCUGGUUUUUGUUGGCCUACUCUUUUCAAAGAUGCCCGUAAGUUUGUCUUGUCUUGUGAUGAAUGUCAAAGAAUUAGUAAUAUUAGUAGACAUCAAGAAAUGCCCAUGAACUAUUCACUUGUUAUUGAACCAUUUGAUGUUUGGGGCUUAGAUUAUAUGGAACCGUUUCCUUCCUCUAAUGGGUAUACACAUAUUUUAGUUGUUGUUGAUUACGUUACUAAGUGGGUAGAAGCUAUUCCAACUAGUAGUGUUGAUCAUAACACCUCUAUUAAGAUGCUUAAAGAAGUUAUUUUUCCGAGGUUUGGAGUGCCCAGAUACUUAAUGACUGAUGGUGGUUCACAUUUUAUUCAUGGUGCUUUUCGUAAAAUGCUUGCUAAGUAUGAUGUUAAUCAUAGAAUUGCAUCUCCAUAUCACCCACAGUCUAGUGGUCAAGUAGAAUUGAGUAAUAGGGAGAUUAAAUUAAUUUUGCAAAAGACUGUUAAUAGAUCUAGAAAGAAUUGGUCCAAGAAACUUGAUGAUGCAUUAUGGGCCUAUAGAACUGCAUAUAAAAAUCCUAUGGGUAUGUCUCCGUAUAAAAUAGUUUAUGGAAAAACAUGUCACUUACCUCUCGAACUAGAACAUAAGGCAUAUUGGGCCAUUAAAGAGCUCAAUUAUGAUUUCAAACUUGCCGGUGAGAAGAGACUAUUUGACAUUAGAUCACUUGAUGAGUGGAGAACCCAGGCCUAUGAGAAUGCCAAGCUGUUUAAAGAAAAAGUUAAAAGAUGGCAUGACAAAGGAUACAAAAGCGUGAGUUUAAUGUAGGUGAUUAUGUUUUGUUAUAUAACUCUCGUUUAAGAUUUUUUGCAGGAAAACUCCUCUCUAAAUGCGAAGGUCAACGUUAUCGAGGAGGUCUAUCAUUCCGUGCCAUAAAAAUCGACAACUUCGAAGGCACAAAUCCGAAGGUGGUGAACGGUCAAAGAAUCAAACAUUAUAUCUCAGGUAAUCCCAUAAAUGUUGAAACCAAUGUUAUUGACACCGUAACCCCGGAGGAGUACAUAAGGGACACUUUCCAGAAUGUUUCAGACUCUGAAAAGGAAUAGGUAUGUGGUACGGUAAGUAAACCGGCUCCAAAACAGUUCCAAUAGCAUUUUUUCUCCAUUUUGGAAUAUUUAAGAAAAUAGGAAAAUAAGAAGUAGUCCAAAAGGGACGCGAGGCGUCCACGAGGGUGGAGCGUGCGCCCUACCCCCUUGGGCGUGCCCCCUGCCUCGUGGGUACCUCGUGUGCCCUCUAGACUCCGUUUUCUUGCACGAUACUUCUUUUGGUCGGUAAAAAUUCAUUAUAUAAUCUCCCGAAGGUUUUGGCCACCGUACCACGACAAUACCUCAUGUUUUUGUCUUGAGUUGUUUCUGCCGCAGAUUAGAUCAAGAUGUCUUCUCAAGAGUCAGUCGGGGAGAUCCGAGUAUCUCACCCGACACCAUCGCCAAAAGUAAACAGCGAUACAUAUCACUUUGGGAGAUCAACUGAGGAGGAGAUGGAGGCCGACUUGAAAAGUAUAUAUGCCAUGGAGGAGGAUCAAGAAGUUACCUCUCAUCUCCAAGCCAGAUUCAAGAUGGAGGAACUUCAGAGCGCGGCAAUUCCAAAUUCGGUCAUCCCUCCCAAUGUUAGAUUUCUUUCUUAUGAAAAUAUGAAGAAUAGUGUUACUUGUUCUCCCGCGGCUAUGCAACAUCCAUGGGUGAAAGGAGCUUUAGCCAUCAUGGGUAAGCUCCGUAAGGAAAUAAUGGAUCUCAAGCAGUAAGUCAAUAAGCGCGAGGAAGAGAAUCAUAUCCUCAGGGGCAUCAUCGCUAAGAAUAUCACUUCACCAUCACCUCCGAAGAAAGAGAAAUAAAUACAUGGGUAUGGGCACUCCCCUUGGCAACUGCCAAGCUUGCGGGAGGUGCCCCGGUAUCGUAUCACCAUCACACUUCUAUCUUUACCAUUUUUCUUAGUUCGAUCCUUUUGGUUAUAUUUUGAUCUAGUAGAAUAAAGUUUAGUAUGAUCUAGCUUUGAGUCUUUGUGUUGAUCCUUAUCUAUGUAAUCGAGUCCAUGAGCUAUAUAUAAUAAAGAUUAGUCUUGAGUUGAGGGCUUGGUUAUCUUGCUAUGACCUUGAGGGAAUAAACGAAAGUAAAAAGAAAGAAUAAAAAGAAAUAAAGAGAUCAUAUUGAUCUUAUGGAGAGUAAUGACUUCACACAUAAAACAGUAUGAUGAAUAAAAGUUGUUGAGAGUUGAGAAACAUAGUUUUGGUCAUCGUUGCAAUUAAUAGGAAGUAAUAAAGAAAGAGAGGUUUUCACAUAUAAAUAUACUAUCUUGGACAUCUUUUAUGAUUGUGAGCACUAAUUAAAAUAUGACAUGCUAAAAAGUUGAUGUUGGACAAGGAAGACAACGUAAUGGGUUAUGUUUUCUUAUAUCCAAAAUAAAUUAUAUUGUCAUGGAUCAUCCAACAUGUUGAGCUUGCCUUUCCCCCUCAUGCUAACCAAAUUCUUUGCACCAAGUAGAGAUACUACUUGUGCUUUCAAAUAUCCUUGAACCUAGUUUUGCCAUGAGAGUCCACCAUAUCUACCUAUGGAUUGAGUAAGAUCCUUCAAGUAAGUUGUCAUUGCUGCAAGCAAUGAAAAUUGCUCUCUAAAUAUGUAUGAUCUAUUAGUGUGGAGAAAAUAAUCUUUAUACGAGCUUGUGAUAUGGAAGAAAUAAAAGCGACGGACUGCAUAAUAAAGGUCCCUAUCACAAGUGGCAAUAUAAAGUGACGUUGUUUUGCAUUAAGAUUUUGUGCAUCCAACCAUAAAAGCACAUGACAACCUCUGCUUCCCUCUGCGAAGGGUCUAUCUUUUAUUUUUGUCUUAUACCUUAUACAAGAGUCAUGGUGAUCUUCACCUUUCCUUUUUACACUUUAUCCUUUGGCAAGCACUAUGUGUUGGAAAGAUCCAAUUGGAUGUGGGCUUUCUUAAAGAAUUAUUGUUGAUGUUACCCUUGAGGUACAAGAUUGGGAGGCAAAACUAUAAGCCCCUAUCUUUCUCUGUAUCCAAUUAAAACUUCAUACCCGUAAGUAUUGCGUGAGUGUUAGAAAUUGUGAAAGACUAUAUGAUAGUUAAGUAUGUGAACUUGCUGAAAAGCUCUUAUAUUGACUAUUUCCGAUGUUAUGAUAAAUUGAAAUUGCUUCAAUGACUAAGAUUGUAGUUUGUUAGUUUUCAAUGAAGUUUCUGAUUCAUACUUGACAUUGUGAAUAGAUUGUUACUUCAGCAUAAGAAAUCAUAUGACAAUAUAUAUAUAUAUAUAUAUGUUGUUAUUCUAAGAAUAAUCAUGAUGCCUUCAUGUCCGUAUUUUAUUUUAUCGACACCUCUAUCUCUAAACAUGUGGACAUAUUUUUUGAUAUCGGCUUCCGCUUGAGGACAAGCGAGGUCUAAGCUUGGGGGAGUUGAUACGUCCAUUUUGCAUCAUGCUUUUAUAUCGAUAUUUAUUGCAUUAUGGGCUGUUAUUAUAGAUUAUUUCACAAUACUUAUGCCUUUUCUCUCUUAUUUUACAAGGUUUAUAUGAAGAGGGAGAAUGCCGUCAGCUGGAAUUCUCGGCUGGAAAAGGAGCAAAUAUUAGAGACCUAUUCUGCGCAACUCCAAAAGUCCUGAAACUCCACGAAAGUCAGUUUUGGAAUAUAUUAAAAAUAUUGGGCGAAGAAAGCACCAAAGGGGGGCCAUCCACCAUCCACGAGGGUGGGGGCGUGCCCAGGGGUAGGGCACCUGGAAGCCCCUCGAUGCUCAUCUUCUGGUAUAAGGUGUCUUUUGCCCUAGAAAAAUAGGGAGGAAGCUUUCAGGAUGAAGCACCGCCGUCUCGAGGCGGAACCAAUAUAGGGCUCCGGCGGAGCUGUUCUGCUAGGGAAACAUCCCUCCGAGAGGGGGAAAUCGUCACCAUCGUCAUUACCAUCAAUCCUCUCAUAGGGAGGGGGUCAAUCUCCAUCAACAUCUUCACCAGCACCAUCUCCUCUCAAACCCUAGUUCAUCUCUUGUAUCUUAUCUUUGUCUCAAAACCUCAGAUUGUUACCUGUGGGUUGCUAGUAGUGUUGAUUACUCCUUGUAGUUGAUGCUAGUUGGUUUAUUUGGUGGAAGAUUAUAUGUUCAGAUCCGUUAUGCAUAUUAAUACCCCUCUGAUUAUGAACAUGAAUAUGAUUUGUGAGUAGUUAUGUUUGUUCCUAAGGACAUGGGAGAAGUGUUGUUAUAAGUAUUCAUAUGAAUUUGGUAUUCGUUUGAUAUUUUGAUGAGAUGUAUGUUGUCUUUCCUCUAGUGGUGUUAUGUGAACGUCGACUACAUGACACUUCACCAUUCUUUGGGCCUAGGCGAAGGCAUUGGGAAGUAAUAAGUAGAUGAUGGGUUGCUAGAGUGACAGAAGCUUAAACCCUAUUUUAUGCGUUGCUUCCUAAGGGGCUGAUUUGGAUCCAUAUGUUUCAUGCUAUGGUUAGGUUUACCAUAAUUCUUCUUUCGUAGUUGCGGAUGCUUGCGAGGGAGGUUAAUCAUAAGUGGGAUGCUUGUCCAAGGAAGGGAAGUACCCAAGCACCGGUCCACCCACAUAUCAAAUUAUCAAAGUAACGAACGCGAAUCAUAUGAGCAUGACGAAAACUAGCUUGACAAUAAUUCCCAUGUGUCCUCGUGAGCGCUUUCCUUUAUAUAAGAGUUUGUACAGGCUUGUCCUUUGCUACAAAAAGGAUUGGGCCACCUUGCUGCACCUUGUUUACUUUUGUUACUUGCUACCUUUUACGAAUUACCUUAUCAUAAAACUAUAUGUUACCGAUAAUUUCAGUGCUUGCAGAGAAUACCUUGCUGGAAACCGCUUAUCAUUUCCUUCUGCUCCUCGUUGGGUUUGACACUCUCACUUAUCAAAAGGACUAUGAUAGAUACCCUAUACUUGUGGGUCAUCAUGUAUAUGCGGGAACAAUCUUGUGACACAAGGGAUGAUAUGAUACCAAGAUUAUAGCAAUAUGAUAUGGUAUGUACGCAAUGGAAGGUGUAGAUCGAUGAUCACUAAUGUGCACAAGUAACGUUGCCGGCAAGACUCAAUGGCUAGUCUCGAUAGGCAAGUGACGCAAAAUGGGCUAGGGAUUAACAAUGCAAUGGCAAGAAUGAAUGUACAAUGAUGGGAUACCACGAUACCAAGAUGAUAUAGAGGUUACUGUUCUUGCUUACGGUUAGGGUAUCAAAAUGGUGAAGGUGGUCGAUGACGAAUCCUUGACGAAGUUGAGAGGUGGUGUUAUUGAUGUUGAAACGUUCCUAGUUAGCCGACUCACCCUAGGAAACAGAAAAACCGCAAACUCAAAAUCUCAAAGGAAAAUGUCAAAUGGUGGUAGCGGCACUACUGCAGGAUGCUGCUAACGUGACACUACGAUUAGAGAUGCUUUAAUGAAACUGUGUGCGAUGCAUCAAUCACAAACGGGGAUGUAAAAACCGUCAGAAAAGGUGCAAAACAUUUGCAAUGGAGGAUGCAUCAAACACGGUUCACAUUUUAGUUGCGUGUGCGAUCUAGGGCAUACGGUUCAGUCCAAUGACCUAUUUGUGAUGAGGCGGAACAAAAGAAAUGGGCAGCCUGAUGAAGGCGUGUGCGAUAUAGAGCAUACGGUUCACUCGGAUGAACGGUUUGUGAUUAGGCAACACAAAAGAAACGGCCAACUAGAUGAAGGUGUGUGCGAUAUACAGCAUACGGUUCACUCGGAUGAACUGUUUGAGAUUAGGCAACACAAAAGAAACGGUCAGCCAGAUCAAGGUGUGUGAGAUUGAGGGCAUACGCUUCAGAAGGAUUAACUGUUUGCGAUUAGGCAACAUAACAGAAACGGGUAAGCCAGAUCAAAGUGUCUGCGAUUGAUGGCAUACACUUCACAUGGAUGAACUGUUUGCGAUUAGCCACAACAAAUUGAGACAGUUAGAUAGAUCAACGUGUGUGCGCUAGACAGGCACACCCAUUCUAAUUAAAAGAAGCGUGUGCGACGCUAAUAACGAGCGCGCACGGUUGUUGGAACAAGACGUGUGCUGACAUUGCCUAUUGCGGUGCACCCUAUGGUGCAAACGCCACGUACGCGGCCGAGAAGGCGUACGUGCCCAUGUUACGCCUUCCGGGAAUAGUGUCGCACUUAUAACCGUCAGUAAAUUUUGAGCAUGCGUCCUGUCACAAUUUUUUUAGAAGAACAAGGAGGUUGCGUCCCAUCACAUUCCAAAUUGCAAACCUGUUCACACCGAUCAAAACCUAUACAGUUUCCCACUUAGGAGUGUAUUACUACGCGGUUAUAAAUACUACUACUCCAAGAUGACUGCACAUUCCUCCUCAACUCCUCAUCCACAAAAAGUCAAAAACAAACACGUCAUUCAUCAUCGUUCCCUUACGUCCGCCAUGGCCAGCGUGAGUUCUGGGUCGAGAGAUUGCCACCAGGGAGAGGCGAGCCUGGAAGCGGGAGCACGAGAGAUGUCCUGCCUCGCCGCAAAAGCAGCCAACAUGUGCCGCCGCACGGCCGUAGCAGCAGAAGGUCCCGCCGCGCCACCGAAGCAGCAUGGAGGACCCGCCAUGCCGUCGAUGCAGCAGAAUGGUCCGGUCAUGCCGCGGAGGCAGAAGAGAAGUCCCGCCGUGCCGUGAAUGCAGCAAAGAUGUCCUCCCGCGUUGCGGUGGCCUGGGAAAAUGCCUUGCGGGCAGGAGAGGACUCUUACAGGCGCAUGCGUGUCCUCGUCCUUAGGCAGAUGGAUCAAAUCUCCAGGUGGGAGAGGUUGCAGGAUGACCUGAAAGCCUCGUUGGAACAGUCUACCGAUGUCAUCCUGCAACUAAAUGAGAGCAAUGCGAAGCUCCGGGCCGAGCGCGACCUGCUGAGGGCAAAGAUCGUCGGAAGUGCGGAGUGAGGGAGUCCUGGACUAAGGGGUCCUCAGGCAUCCGACCUGUUGGACAUGGGCCGGACUAAUGGGUUUUGAAGAUACAAGACCGAAGACUCUCUCCCGUGUCCGGAUGGGACUCUUCUUGGCGUGGAAGGCAAGCUUAGCGUCCAAGAUAUGAAGAUUCCUUUCUCUGUAACUGACUUUGUACAACCCUCAUCCCCUCCGGUGUCUAUAUAAACCGGAGGGCUUAGUCCGAAGGACAGAUAUAGUCAUACAGGCUAGACUUCUUGGGUUUUAGCCAUUACGAUCUCGUGGUAGAUCAACUCUUGUAAUACUCAUAUUCAUCAAGAUCAAUCAAGCAGGAAGUAGGGUAUUACCUCCAUAGAGAGGGCCCGAACCUGGGUAAACACUGUGUCCCUUGUCUCCUGUUACCAUCGACCUUAGACGCAUAGUUCGGGACCCCCUACCCGAGAUCCGCCGGUUUUGACACCGACAUUGGUGCUUUCAUUGAGAGUUCCAUUGUGCCGUCCUCAAGAGGUUUGAUGGCCCCUUCAAUCAUCUACAACAAUGCUGUCCAAGGAGAAGUCUUCCUCCCAGGACAGAUCUUAGUGUUCGGCGGCUUCGCACUACGGGCCAACUCGCUUGGCCAUCUUGAGCAGAUCGACAGCUAUGCCCCUGGCCGUCAGGUCAGAUUCGGGAGGUUGAACUACGUCACGGAUAUCUGCGGAGACUUGAUCUUCGACGGAUUCGAGACCACGGCAGCCGCUCCUCGUCACCAUGAUGAACAUGACUUAAAUCUGUCAUCGGACCAUACCCAGGAGAUAGCACCUGUAACUGCUCUGGCCUUAGAUCCAGAGCAGAUCGUGCCAUCUGAAGACAGGAAGCUCAACCCGGCCAUAGAUGCCGCAGUCUCAGCGGCGUUAGAGCCGCACACAGACCCAACCUCGAGUGGAAUCUGUGUCACCGAAGCCUCGGACUCGUUUCCGGCUAUAGGUUCUGAACCAUGUGUGUCCAGGUGCGUCGAGCUCGAUCAGUCUUUGAUCGUCGAAUUCAGCUCCACGGACAUUUUUCGGCACUCGCCUUUGGGCGACGUGUUAAACUCGUUAAAGGCACUAUCCUUAGCGGGGGGCUCACAGUCGAAUUAUAUCCGGUUUGAACUAGAGGCUGAUGACGGAGAACUUCCCUUCCCACCCACCGCCCACUUCACAGCCACUGUCAAAGAUUUAACCGACAUGCUAGAUUACAGCUCUAAAGACAUCGACGGUAUGGACGACGAUGCCAAUGAGGAGCAGGGCCAAAACCCGUCGUUUACUGGACGCUGGACGGCCACCUCUUCUUACGACGUGUACAUGGUGGAUACACCUAAAAGAACUAACGAUGAUGACAGAGAAGAUCCAGUUGAGGAUGAACCUCCUAUGAUACAGCCAAAACGUCGGUGUCAGCGGCCCUGUUCUAAGUCACGUCAUGGAAAAGACAGCAAUACUGGCACGGGGGAAAACAAUACUCCGGACGAUGCCGAAGAUAAUGAAGACCCUGUUGAGAUAACUUCCGAACAGGAGGAACAGGAAAACGGGCAAGUUAGCCCUGACGAACAGGCCAUAAACGACAACUCGGAGGACAUUAAUUAUCUUCCACUCUCCGAGGAUGAGGUGAGCCUUGGCAAUGAGGAUUUUAUCGUGCCUAAGGAACCUCUCGAGCAGGAGCGCUUCAAGCGCCGGCUAAUAGCCACUGCAAGGAGCCUGAAAAAGAAGCAGCAGCAGCUUCAAGCUGACCAAGAUCUGCUCAACGAUAGAUGGAAUGAUAUCCUAGCAGCCGAAGAAUACGGCCUCAAGCGCCCAGCCAAAAGCUACCCGAAGCGCAAAUUGCUACCUCAGUUCGAUGAUGAGGCACCGGAGCCUGUACCAUCAUCGCGCAAUGCGGCUGACCGACCAUCACAUGGUCGGGAUAAAGCGGCAACUCAAGCCGAACACCAACCCGCCCCACCUCAUCACAAAGGCAGAGAUAAACUAGCUCAUGGUUAUACAUAUGCCCUUCGGCAGGACCUAGACAGUAGAUUAGGACAUACCAGAUCGAUCUACGAAUCGCGAGGACGCGUCCUCACACGCGACGAUGGCCAUCUAUUCAGACGUGACAACCCUAGCAUGCCCAGGCCAAAAACCGCAGACGGACUCCAUCUGAGCUAUGUCGCGAUGUGGACCGAUAUUGAGGCGGCGCACACCCUCUUUGAUUCACUGACGAAGUAAUGGAGCAUGAAUUCCCAGAAGGGUUUAAACCCGUGAAUAUCGAAUCAUAUGAUGGAACAACUGAUCCCGCGGUAUGGAUCGAGGAUUUUCUUCUCCAUAUCCAUAUGGCCCGUGGAGAUGACCUUCACGCCAUUAAAUACCUCCCACUAAAACUCAAAGGGACAGCUCGGCACUGGUUAAACAGUCUGCCCGAAAACUCUAUUGGCGGCUGGGAGGAUUUGGAAGACGCCUUCCAUGACAACUUCCAAGGUACAUAUGUUCGGCCACCAGAUGCCGAUGACUUAAGUCACAUAGUUCAACAGCCCGGAGAGUCAGCCAGGAAAUUCUGGACUAGGUUCCUAACUAAAAAGAACCAGAUCGUCGACUCUCCGGAUGCCGAAGCCCUAGUGGCCUUUAAGCAUAGCAUUCGCGACGAAUGGCUCACCCGCCACCUUGGUCAAGAAACUUCGAAGUCCAUGGCAGCCCUCACGGCACUCAUGACCUUCUUUUAUGCGGGUGAGGAUAGUUGGCUGGCUCAUAGCAAAAACAUGGCAAGCGAAGCGGGCACCUCCGAUGUUAAAAACAGCAACGGCAAGCUCCGACGCAACAGGCACAAAUGUCGAAGCAAUGGUGACAAUACCGAUGACACGACAGUCAACGCCGGAUUCAGUGGCUCCAAGUCCGGUCAGCGGAAGAAGCCAUAUAAAAGAAACAACCUGGGACCAUCCAGCUCAAACCGCAUACUCGAUCGUCCGUGCCAGAUCCAUGGCACCCCAGACAAACCAGCCAAUCAUACCAACAGAGAUUGUUGGGUUUUUAAACAGGCCGGCAAGUUAAAUGCCGAGAACAAGGAGAAGGGAUCGCAAAGCGAGGACGAUGACGAGGAGCCCCGGCCACCGAACACAAGGGGACAGAAGAAGUUUCCCCCUCAGGUCAAAACGGUGAACAUGAUAUACGCUACCCACAUCCCCAAGAGGGAGCGCAAGCGCGCUCUCAGGGACGUCUAUGCGAUAGAGCCAGUCGCCCCAAAACUUAAUCCAUGGUCGUCAUGCCCGAUCACCUUCGAUCGUCGGGAUCAUCCGACCAGUAUCCAUCACGGCGGUUCAGCCGCACUGGUCCUUGACGCAAUAAUUGAUGGAUUCCACCUAACGCGAGUCCUCAUGGACGAUGGCAGCAGCCUCAACCGUCUCUAUCAGGAUACAGUACACAAAAUGGGCAUUAAUCCAACACGGAUCAAGCCCACAAAGACUACCUUUAAAGGAGGCAUGCCCGGUGUAGAGGCCCGCUGUACGGGCUCAAUCACACUAGAGGUUGUCUUCGGAUCUCCGGACAACUUCAGAAGUGAAGAGUUAAUCUUCGAUAUCGUCCCCUUUCGCAGCGGCUAUCACGCACUACUUGGACAAACCGCAUUUGCUCGAUUCAACGCGGUGCCACACUAUGCUUAUCUCAAGCUCAAGAUGCCUGGACCACGCGGCGUCAUAAUAGUUAAUGGAAACAGGGAAUGCUCCCUCCGUACUGAGGAGCACACCGCUGCCUUAGCAGCAAAAGUACAGAGUGGCCUUUUCAAGCAGAACCUUAAUUCGGUGGUCGAGCUCCCCGACACUGUCAAGAGAGUCCGGACUAUUCCGCGGUAGGACAGCUCAGCUCGUCAAGAGCUCGACUAGCAAUCUAGCCUCCGUCCCAGUCCCGACCAAGUGGCAGCAUUCGUACCACGGGUACAUAACUACGCACUCAAAAUACCAUGGGCAUAGACGAAGGCAUAACUAUCUUGUGAUCCACAGUACGGCUCGAUCGAACCCGGACAUGAAAGUGCGUUAUAUCGACUAGAGGGGGGUGAAUAGGCGAUUUUUAUGAAAGUCUUCAGAACAUGGGAGUUUUGAAGACAAACGAUAAAAAUAGACCUAUUACCAUGCAGCGGAAGGUAGACUACACUAGGCAAACCAUAGUCAAGUAUUCAAUGAAGUGAAAGCACAAAGACUAAUAGCAGCUAGGUAGUAAGGAUCAGAUAGGAAGAUAUUGUGAAGCCAAACAGAACACGCAGUCACUCAGUGAAGACAAAUGAUAGAGCAAACAUACAAUGACUUCACAAGGAGUAACAGUAAGUAACGUGAAGUGAAGAUGAAACCAGUGACUCGUUGAAGACAAUGAUAUGUUGAACCAGUUCCAGUUGCUGUGACAACUGUACGUGUGGUUGGAGCGGCUAGGUAUUUAAACCUUAGGACACACAGUCCCGGACACCCAGUCCUGAACACACAGCUCAGGACACCCAGUCCUCACCGUAUUAUCCUUGAGCUAAGGUCACAUAGACCUCGCCCAAUCACUCUGGUAAGUCUUCAAGGUAGACUCCCAAACCUUCACACACUUCGUUCACUGGCAAUCCACAAUGUCUCUUGGAAGCUCAGAACGCGACGCCUAACCGACUGGAGGAUGCACAGUCCUCAAGUGUAAUAAGUCUUCAGAUCACACAGAGAAGAAGACUUAAGUGAUGCCCAAUUCUCUCUGGCUCUGGUGGUUAGGUCUUUAUCCUCGCAAGGAAUUCUCUCUGAAAGGCUUCGAGGUGGGUUGCUCUCAAAUGACAAAAGCCGUGCUUUCAAUCUGAGCAGCUAACCAUUUAUGGUUGUAGGGGGUGGGCUAUUUAUAGCCACUUGGCAACCCGGCCUGAUUUGUCCGAAAUGACCCUGGGUCACUAAGGAACUGACACGUGUUCCAACGGUCAGAUUUCAAACUCACACGACAACUUUACUUGGGCUACAAGCAAAGCUGACUUGUCCGACUCUGGACAAGAUUCGCUCUCAUUGUCUUCACUCGAAGACAUAGGUUUUUGGUUUAGGCAUCACUUCAGUCAUUCUGACUGGUUCUCUUGGACCCCACUUAACAGUACGGUGGUUCAUAUGACUGAACACAAAAGAAAAAGAACUACAAAAGAUCUAAGUCUUCGAGCUCCAUAGGCUUCAUAUCGUGUCUUCUCUUGUCAUAGUCUUCAAUGUGAAUAUCUUCAUAUACCACCUUUGACUUCAAUGUCUUCAUACAUUUUUAGGGGUCAUCUCUGGUAGUAAAACCGAAUCAUGAGGGACUUCUACCUGUGUUAUCCUGCAAUUCUCACAAACACAUUAGUCCCUCAACUAGGUUUGUCGUCAAUACUCCAAAACCAACUAGGGGUGGCACUAGAUGCACUUACAAUCUCCCCCUUUUUGGUGAUUGAUGACAAACUAGUUGAAGUUUUCAACGGGGAAUAUAAUCUGUGAAACUGUAAAGGAUAAGGAAUUGUCUUCAUAAGUUGCAAGGGCUCCCCCUGAAGAUGUGCAUAUUAGUUAAUUUGCUUUUGGAAUGCAAAUGCACAUGGCAGGUGGUACUUGUGGAGAUCCACUUAAACUUAUGAUGACAAUCCACUAUGCAUGUGAAAGUAUAUGAAGAUAAUGCCAUGCAUAAUGGAAAAUGGACGUCUGCAGAAUGAGUUGAGUGCGGAAUUUAUCGUCGCACAUGCGGAAUUUAUCUUCGCAAAACAAGGUGGCAAAUAAGUAGUAGACGACCAUCUAGUUUAAGUGUUACAACUCAUAAGAACCAAAUGUAGCAAAAAAACGAGAGUUGUAAGCACGAAGCAAAAUAUAAGGCACCCGCCCAUAUGAACCCGCUUGAAGACUAUCAAUCUCAUAUGCUUCUCCCCCUUUUGUCAGUAAUGACCAAAAAGGUUUGAAGACAUAGAGCCUCUACUCGUUCCCAUGAGGAGUAGGUGAAGUAGCAGGGUUGUUGGUGUUGUUUGGCGGUGCAGAAGAGCUUGGAGGUGCUGAAGGAGGUGGCGGUGAAGUAGCAUCGUCUUCUUCUUCAAUAAUUCUGGCAGUGACUAUGGCAGCAGAGGAAGAGAACUCAGAGUCUUCAAGGGAUGGAGUUCCUAGUAGCACAGCCCUUCGAGGAGGUGUGGAGUCAAACUUGAAUCUCUUAGUGAAGCCAUCCUCUUGAAGAUCAGCUUCAGAAAGCAUCAUCGUUAGCCCUUUCCAUGUGCAGCGACAGGUUUCAUGGGCAACGAAAAUAUUCUUGGUGGCAAGAUUUCGAGUGUGAUUAACAUCCACCAAGAGGCUUUUCAUCUGACGCUUCAGCCAGUCAUGAUGCCUAUCUUGUUUCUGAUGUAGAGCCACAAGAAGCUCUCGGUCGUUGAGAACACGAGUGCGCUUCUUGGGUCUUGGAGCAGUGGUACUGUCAGUGGCUUCAGUGGAAGCAGGGUGUGGUGCACGUGUAGUGCCAGCCAAAGGAUACACCCGAGAAACUGCUUCAACGCCUUCAACGUUCUGCAUAAAACUCUGAUGUUCUGCAUUCUGAAGACUUAGAGGUUGCUUGGCAGGCUCAGAAUAUAUGGCUUCAGUAGACAUGUCCACAUCAGGCAAGAAGAUCCGAUGGUUGCGGGCUGAGGGCUGAUAAGAGAUGGCGGAGUGUAGCUUGAUCAGCCGCAUGACCCAAGGGGCGUAGAACUUCAAAUCAAACAGAUCAAUGCCUGAUGCAGCAAGUUGGCGUAUGAAGAAGUCCUGUGCAUUGAAGCAUUUUCCAUGAAGUAUAUAGAAGACCAAAGUCUUCAUUGCACCCUGAAGCUUGGCAUUUGGAGAGUGCCCUUUGAUAGGCCAGAGAGUUUGCCUGAUGAUGUGAUAGAUGGUUCUGGGCAGGUACUCAAGGUCUUCAAUGAAGAACUCUGUGGGAUACGCAGCAUCUUGGGGCAAUGGCUUCAUCAUGCUGAGCAUUUGACUCAUAUUAGGUUCUGGCCGCUGAAAGAUGCUCUCAAUAGCUUCAGCAUGCAGCUGACAGCCUUGCUCGAAGAGAUCGCCAGGAGUGGGCAAGCCAAUGAGCUCAAUGAUGUCAAAUGCAUUGGCUUCGUGAUGAACGUUGCCAGUCAUCCACUCCAGGACACAAGUCUUCAGAUCUCUGCUGUAUCCUUUGAUGUGAAGUGUGGCAUAGAAUUGUAGCAGCAGAUCUUCAUUCCAAUGCUCUUCAGCAGUAACAAAUUGCAGCAGACCCACUUGCUUGAAGCAAUCCAACGCUUCUUCUAGAUAGGGCAGACCAGCUAUAGCUUCAACGUCAAGGCGCUUGUGUGGGAAGAUGCGUCCUUGGUUGUAAAGAAUGCAAGAGUAAUAGCUUCGCUCAGGAUAGCUCCAGAACCGAUCAGAUGAUAUCCGUUCCCUUGAGUAGGGGUUCCUGGAGCUGUUGAAGAACGUGUUGUCUUCCCUGAAGCCAUUGAUGUUGAAGGAGCCAGGUGCUGAUGCAGGACCUGGAAACCUUGGCAGUCUUGGGAUUGGCUUCUGGACCUGAGGCCUGUGCUCAACAUGAUAGUUGAAUUGGGGACCGGCAGCAGACUCGGGAACAGAAGUGGCGGGAUCAGUGGCUUCGCUGUCUUCUGAAGCUUUUGCUGGGGAGGGCUCCACAUUAGCUUCGUUGUUGGUUGUGGCAGCCUCAAGAUUUUCAUCCUCCACUUGACUAGCUGGAGGGUCAGUCACAUGCACGUUCUCCUAGAGAACUGCUUCUUGGUGGAGCAGGGGAGUGGGAUCUUGUGGUACUUCUUCUUCUGUGGCUGAUGCAGCCGGAAUGUCUUCAGCAUAGACUUGAGGCCUUGGACCUUUGCGAAGCCUGCGGAACGCAGAUGACGCCUGUGGAAUUGGAGUGGGCUGGGCCUCAUAGUCUUCUUCCUCUUGUGGGCGAUCCGCCCAUGAAGCAUCCUGUGCAAUUGGCGUCAGUGGACGACCAAUGCUGAUGAGUUUGCUGUUUUCUAACUGAGGAAGGACUGCAUCAUCUUCUACAUUGUCAUGAUGACCAAUGUCUUCAGCAGCGAUGGGAUCAGCUGCUGGAAUGUCUUCAGCUUCAGGAGCCUCUGUGAAAGCAGGCUCAUGAACCGUCAGUUGACGUUCUGCUUCAGGAUGAACCAUAGAAAUGGGUUCAACUAUCAAGGGCUCUGUGGGAGCAGCCCGAGCUUUCUUGGUUUUUCGCUUUUUCUUGGUGGGGGCAGUAGGAGAGUCUUCAGAGUGUUUCCUCUUCAUGGCUUCAGCCUCAGCAGUUCUUGUCUUCUUGAGCUCUGAAGCUGUUGACCUGCUCUUUGGCUUCGAGCCAGUCAUUCUUGUUGGGAAGACAAUCGAAACUGCUUCUUGCCUUGGUGCAUUAGAUUCAGCCGUAGCAGGCUUCUUCUUCUUCUUUGCGGCCAUCCUGGGGUCGAUGCCAGGACACCCAAGUGCCUUGCGCUUCUCAGCCUCAUUAUAGGCUUGCACACAUCUGUCAGCCAGAGUCUUCAUGCGCUCACGCGAACCCUGAGCUUCUGCACGCUUCUUCACAAAGGCUUCCUUGAGCUCAUGCAUCAUUGUCUUGAAGUUCUUCACUUCUUGCACGCUGAGCUUGGCCAUAUGCUUCUUGAACUGAGCCUUUUCAUAGUCAAUCUUCUACUUCAGCUCAACAACGCGCUGGGCAAUAGCAAGUUCUGAAGCAAUGGCGCCUUGGAAGGCGACACUGAGGCCAAUGGGUAGCUGCAGAUCUUCAAAGCUGAUGUUUGGCGUGUCAAACCACUCGUCAAUGAAGUUGUGGAUGAUGGUGACAUCAAAGAGAGGCAGAUCAUUGAAGAUUUCUGCUUCUUCUUUGCUCUUGAUGAGUUGCUCAAGAGUGUCAUCUGCAAGAUCUUCAUCACUUGACAGAUCAAUGUCGUCGUUGCGUAGAAUGGUAGCAGCUGCUAGCUCUUUGCCAGUGUGAAACAGAGGCAUCUUGGCCUUCUGGGGCCUUGAGACAGGUGAUAAGUCUUCAGACUGCACACUGUCUUCAGGAGGUGCAGUUGCCAAUGGCUUCGCCCUUGAGAUUUUUGGUGAAGGGGCCGGCUUUGAAGCUUUUGGCUUCUUCAACUGCUUUGGCUUCGGCACUUCAGGCGCGUCAUCAGACUCAGUGUCAGCUGUAGGCUCAUUCACUGCAGUCCCUUGAACCAAUAUGUAGGUGAUGAGGCCUUCAAGGUUGGCGAAAGGGCCGAUGACAUUGGGUUCUGCAUGUUGUGUGCCAUCUGCCCUUGGAGAUGAGGGACCAGGGUUGAAGUCUAACCCAAAAGUCUUCUUGUUCUGCUUCGCUGAGUUCUGAGCAAACUGGAAGUUGCGCUUGAACAGAUUGUCGUCACGACACAAUAGCAGUGACGACGAGUGUGCAUCAGCAGGCUGUGGUCCAUGGACCAUGCAUGGAUAGAAGCCUUGAGCAAUGGCUUCAUCUCUGGACCUGGGUAGAAGAUUCUUGAAUAGGAUGUCUCCCCACGGUCUCUUGAUGGUGCUUUUCUCAACAUACUCCUGGGUCACAAAUCUGUAUUUAAACCAUUGUUCUGCCCAAUAUCUUCGAAUCCAUUGGAUUCGGGUCUUGCACUGACUGUAAUCCUCUUCAGGAUCUGUCUUGUACAUUUCUGAGAGUUCAUCUGGCAGAUCUCUGGAGGUCUCACCACGACGCUUUCUUCCACCCUUCCUUGCUGCUUUCUCUGAAGCCAUAAACUUUAACUUGAAAGGCUUCAAGACGUUCAAAGGCUUCAAAGGUUUUCGUUUGCUGGACCAACAGGAACUGGCUUCGGGAGAAUUUAGGUGAUGCUGUAAGAAUUCUGCAAAUGAAUGUAGACUAUGAGAACCAAAGGAUUCUCCCACGGACAUGUACCUGUGACAGCAUUAAGAUGCGAGGGAAGGGGAAGAGGUCAUAUGCAUUCUCAGAAGAUUUUGAAGAUAAAUCAGGUUAGAAGACAUUGACCUCAUCGUGCGAAGACAUUCACUCAUAGAUAAGAAGUUGGUUCCAGAUUUGUACGAAUCCACAGAUCAGUACAAGUGAGGAAUCUAACUACUUUGUUAAGCACAAGUGAAUAUACUAGGCAUUUUUAUGAGAUGCCGUAUGAGAGAGAUUUAGCUUGUGUGAACAAAAACUGCUUGUGGUAGAAAGUGACAGAUCAAUAGGAUCAACGGUGCUGUAAAAAGGGAGUUUUAUUUACCACACUGGGAACUGCUAGACGAAGUGGGAGAUGAGGCAGAGCAGUUCGAUCCUCCGUGCCCUAACUUGGCGACGGAGGACACCUACGGCGACGGCGGAGAGGACGAUGUCCGCGGUCGGCGUGAAGACGGCGUCGGAGAGGUUGCGGCAGCGAAGCGCUUCGUCACCGGCGACGUCGAGAGCUAGUGGUGGCGCUAGGGUUCGUGCGAGGGUGGAAGAAGAGAUAAUGACCGCUGUGAGUGUGUAUUUAUCGGCACAUGGGCGGCACUGUGCUAUUACACAGGUGCCCUGGCGAUUCGCAUUUGGGGAACACAUGGCCAUUAUGCGGAAUUUUGGGGUUUGUUCCACGUCCCAUGCACGCCUGGAUUGUCGGGUGGUUGUUCCUACUUCUCCGGAAUUCAUGUGGAGGAAUGAGCAUUGAAAACGGACUUAAUGGUUGUCUCUGUAUCUUCUGCUGACAAGGACGCAGAGAAGACAUUCGAUAGUUUCAAUAGAAUGCAUAUGACUUGGAGAGAUAGAGUUUGAGAUAGAAAGCAUAGAGAAGUUAGGGUCCGAUCACAUUCACUUAGUUCAAAAGAUUCAACACGAAGGCAUAGAUAUAAGUGAAUGCUGUAGAGGACAGAAUACUAGCAUAUAUAUAUAUAUAUAAUCAACAUAGUGAAGAUAAUAAUAAAAAUAUGUUGAGAUCGAAGCCAAACCAAAUGUGAUGAUGAGGACAUCAAUACAAUUGUUACACCCACAGCCCCUGCUGCUAUACAUACUGGACCAAUUACUAGAGCUCGUGCACGCCAAUUAAAUUACCAGGUACUUUCGUUUCUUGGUAAUGAUUCUAAUGUUCAUGAGAAUAUGAUGCUGCCUAAAUUGGAUACAUUUGUUUUGCUUACAAAUGAAGGGCCUAGCUUGGAGAAGGAUGAACAUUGGAGCAAGAACAAGCAUGGAGAUGAUGGCAUGCGCAAGGGGAACAAGAACGGAGUUACAAGUGAUGAUUUCAGGACUUUGAAGCCACCAUAAUGGGUGCAUGAAGCCUUGGAUGAAAUAUACAAGAUGCCACUUCAUAAAUUUCGUCCCGAGGCUAUUUUAGGUGCUGCGUCACCUUAUUAUUGGGCCAGGCCCAUGUAAUUUCGAAAUACAUAAGUAUAGGCUAUUUUUAGAGUCCGUAUGUGUGGGGAAACAAGAGAUAGGGUUGAUUUCGGACCCCUCCACCAAGGGCCACGAAAUUCCCCCCUCUUCCUCCAUAUAUACAGCCCUUAGGGCAUCGUUUAGACUUUGGGUUUUGUUUAGAUUAAAAGUUCGCCAUAGCUGCAACUUCGCGUACUUCGUUUGUGUUCAACGACCAGACAAAGGCGUCACAGAACCCCACCUUGAUUAAUAAAGCUUUCAUCUUAUAUUCGCAAUAUCCAGAUUGCAAUCUCAGUUUCUUGCUUGUUCUUCGUUUGCUUGCAGGAAACAGACCCUCGUGGUCAGGUUGAUCGUGCUCCGGCGUGGUCAAUAACCUCUCGUAGUUGGUUUAGUGAUUGCUAAGGCGCGACGUCCUCGCACGUUCGUAGUCGGAUCGUCAAAGUCAACUGCCACCAAAGCAAUAUCCAUCAUCUCAUCGAAAGACGGGACACCUUUGCCUCUAUCAUUAAUAGAGCUAAUAAAGCAAAACAGGAGACAAAUAAGAGUGAAAAUCAGAUUGUGGCAAAAGAAUUUGUGCACCAAAUGAAGCCUAAAAAUAAACCAUCUACUGUUGUUUCUGAAAUUAAAUUGAAAAGUGCAUGUUUACUUGCCACCAAAUCUGAUAUUGAUGAGCUAGAUUUUAGCAAAUCUGUUUGCUUUGCUUUUGUGUGCAAAGAGGUAUUAUUUUCAUUCGAGGACGUGCCUUCCUCUUUGCCCCCUGUUGUCACUAACAUUUUGCAGGAGUUCGCUGACGUCUUUCCACAAGACGUGCCACCGGGAUUACCACCUAUUCGAGGGAUUCAGCAUCAAAUUGACUUAAUUCCCGGUGCUUCGCUACCCAACUGUGCUCCAUACCGUACCAAUCCAGAGGAGACGAAGGAGAUUAUGCGUCAAGUACAAGAACUGCUCGACAAAGGUUAUAUACGCGAAUCCCUUAGUCCUUGUGCUGUUCCUAUCAUUUUAGUGCCGAAAAAGGAUGGUAUGUCGCGUAUGUGCGUUGAUUGUAGAGGCAUUAAUAAUAUUACUAUUCGUUAUCGUCAUCCUAUUCCUAGGCUAGAUGAUAUGCUUGAUGAAUUGAGUGGCUCUACAAUAUUCUCCAAAGUUGAUUUGUGUAGUGGAUACCAUCAAAUUCGUAUGAAAUUGGGUGAUGAAUGGAAAACAACAUUUAAAACUAAGUUUGGAUUAUAUGAGUGGUUAGUCAUGCCUUUUGGGUUAACUAAUGCACCUAGUACUUUCAUGAGGUUAAUGAACGAAGUUUUAUGUGCUUUCAUUGGACGAUUUGUGGUAGUUUACUUUGAUGACAUAUUGAUUUAUAGCAAAUCUUUGGAGGAACAUUUGGAACAUUUAUGUGCUGUUUUUAUUGCUCUACGUGAUGCACAUUUGUUUGGAAACCUUGGAAAGUGCACCUUUUGCACCGACCGAGUAUCUUUUCUUGGCUAUGUUGUUACUCCACAGGGAAUUGAAGUUGAUAAAGCCAACAUUGAAGCUAUUGAGAGUUGGCCGCAGCCCAAAACGGACACACAAGUGAGGAGUUUCCUUGGCCUCGCUGGUUUCUAUAGGCGUUUUGUGAGAGAUUUCAGCACCAUUGCUGCACCUCUCAACGAGCUUACAAAGAAGGAUGUGCCUUUUGUUUGGGGUACCGCACAGGAAGAAGCCUUCACGGUAUUGAAAGAUAAGUUGACACAUGCUCCUUUACUCCAACUUCCUAAUUUCAAUAAGACUUUUGAGCUUGAAUGUGAUGCUAGUGGAAUUGGAUUAGGAGGUGUGUUAUUACAAGAUGGAAAACCUGUUGCAUACUUUUCUGAAAAAUUGAGUGGGCCUAGUCUGAACUAUUCUACUUAUGAUAAAGAAUUAUAUGCUCUUGUUCGGACCUUAGAAACAUGGCAACAUUAUUUACGGCCCAAGGAAUUUGUUAUACAUUCUGGUCAUGAACCUUUGAAACACAUUAAAAGUCAAGCAAAACUGAACCGUAGACAUGCUAAAUGGGUUGAAUUCAUUGAGACUUUCCCUUAUGUCAUUAAACACAAGAAGGGUAAAGAAAAUGUUAUUGCUGAUGCCUUGUCUCGUCGUUAUACUAUGCUUUCACAACUUGACUUUAAAAUAUUUGGUUUGGAGACCAUCAAAGAUCAAUAUGUUCAUGAUGCUGAAUUUAAAGAUGUAUUGCAGAAUUGUAAGGAAGGGAGAACUUGGAACAAGUUCGUUAUUGACGAUGGAUUUGUGUUUCGUGCUAACAAGCUAUGCAUUCCAGCUAGCUCCGUUCGUCUUUUGUUGUUGCAGGAGGCGCAUGGAGGAGGAUUAAUGGGACACUUUGGCGUCAAGAAGACGGAGGAUAUACUUGCUACACAUUUCUUUUGGCCAAAGAUGAGACGGGAUGUUGAGUGUUUUGUUGCUCGCUGCACUACAUGUCAAAGAGCUAAGUCACGACUCAAUCCUCAUGGUUUAUAUAUGCCUUUGCCUGUACCUAGUGUUCCUUGGGAGGAUAUAUCUAUGGACUUUGUUUUAGGUUUACCUCGAACAAAGAAGGGGAGGGAUAGCAUAUUUGUUGUCGUGGAUAGGUUCUCGAAAAUGGCACACUUUAUACCAUGUCAUAGAAGCGAUGAUGUUGUUAAUGUUGCUGAUUUGUUCUUUCGUGAAAUUAUUCACUUACAUGGUGUGCCAAAUGCUAUUGUUUCAGAUCGUGAUACUAUAUUUCUUAGCCACUUUUGGAGAUGUUUAUGGGCUAAGUUGGGGACUAAGCUGCUUUUUAGUACUACUUGUCACCCCCAAACUGAUGGACAAACUGAAGUAGUCAAUAGAACAUUGUCUACUAUGCUUAGGGCUGUUUUGAAGAAUAACAAGAAAAUGUGGGAAGAAUGCUUGCCUCAUAUUGAAUUUGCUUAUAAGCGUUCAUUGCAUUCUACUACUAAGAUGUGCCCUUUUGAAAUUGUUUAUGGUUUCCUACCUCGUGCACCUAUUGAUUUGUUGCCUCUUCCAUCUUCAGAGAAGGUUAAUUUUGAUGCUAAAGAAUGUUCUGAAUUGAUUUUAAAAAUGCAUGAGUUAACUAAGGAAAACAUUGAGCGUAUGAAUGCUAAAUAUAAACUUGCUGGAGAUAAGGGUAGAAAACAUGUUGUGUUUGCGCCUGGAGAUCUUGUUUGGUUACAUUUGCGUAAAGAUAGAUUUCCUAAUCUGCGCAAAUCAAAGCUAAUGCCACGUGCUGAUGGUCCUUUUAAGGUGUUAGAGAAAAUAAAUGAUAAUGCAUAUAAACUUGAGCUACCUGUAGAUUUUGGGGUUAGUCCCACUUUUAACAUUGCAGAUUUGAAGCCUUAUUUGGGUGAGGAAGAUGCGCUUCCGUCGAGGACGACUUCGUUUUAAGAAGGGGAGGAUGAUGAGGACAUCAAUACCAUUGUUACACCCACAGCCCCUACUGUUACAUAUACUAGACCAAUUACUAGAGCUCGCGCACGCCAAUUAAAUUACCAGGUACUUUCGUUUCUUGGUAAUGAUUCUAAUGUUCAUGAGAUUAUGAUGCUGCCUAAAUUGGAUACAUUUGUUUUGCUUACAAAUGAAGGGCCUAGCUUGGAGAAGGAUGAACAUUGGAGCAAGAACACGCAUGGAGUUGAUGGCAUGCGCAAGGGGAGACGGAGUUACAAGUGAUGAUUUCAGGACUUUGAAGCCGCCAUAAGGAGUGCAUGAAGCCUUGGACGAAAUAUACAAGAUGCCACUUCAUAAUAUUCAUCCAUAGGCUAUUCUAGGUGCUGCGUCACCUUAUUAAUGGGCCAGGUCCAUGUAAUUUCGAAAUACUUAAGUAUAGGCUAUUUUUAGAGUCCGUAUGUGUGGGGAAACAAGAGUUAG
RNAcentral lists this long non-coding RNA (24764 nucleotides) under Triticum aestivum (bread wheat). Its description in RNAcentral is "long non-coding RNA (TAES_LNC020643)". The record is from RNAcentral. Lineage: Eukaryota; Viridiplantae; Streptophyta; Magnoliopsida; Poales; Poaceae.